Long non-coding RNA from Oncorhynchus keta (chum salmon), 898 nucleotides. RefSeq lists it as uncharacterized. The record is from RefSeq and is a predicted model, not a curated record. The transcript has 3 exons. NCBI's taxonomy places the organism in Eukaryota, Metazoa, Chordata, Actinopteri, Salmoniformes, Salmonidae.
AUUCUCACUCUCUGUACUCUCAUCUUCACCCGACCACCAUCAGUUUCAAACAGAACAUGUGUUUUCCGCCAUCUUCCUCUCCACCUCUCGUCUUCUUCUGCCACAAUGAAUCUGUGUCCAUGCCAGAUAGUUGCUUAAGUAUCCCCGUCGAUACCUGGAAGUUACCAAAGCAGUGUUGGAAAAAGUACCUCAUUGUUAUACUUGAAUAAAAAUAAAGGAGGAGCACACACCUGGAAAAAGAGAAAUUAACACCCUGUCUGUGUGUACUUUCACCACCAGAGAGAGCUAUUUGUCCAGGUUUUCUGUCAACUGAUCUCUUUCAGUGAGUAAAAUGUGACGUUGAUUUGCAGUGAGAGACUUAUGCCUAAUGAGAGAAGACCUGGGUCCUGCCUGCUGCCGCUGGCCUCAUCGAUUACCUGUCCCCCCGCCACAACAUGCUACUAAUGAAUAUGCUGCAAGUUGGAAACACAGACAAUGGCUUUGCUAAAAAACUGUUUGCUUAUGUUCACUAGGAAAGCUCUGAUGACUGUGAUGGAAUAUACUGUAAAUGGAUUAUGAACAUGUAUUUUGUUGCUCGGCUUGAAUAUCUAUACAAAUGAAAGGACUUCCAUAGUUUGGUUGGAGUGUUCAGUGGUGUGGUAUUGCACUUACAUUCCACCCUAGCCAAGAUAUGUGGUUAUAACUGCCAAAACUCAUUGAAUGGAAACUUGAAAAUUAAAUAUAAAACAUAUAUUCCUGUUUCUAGAACAAGCUGUUAGCUGUAUAAAUGAGGUUUUAGGAAUAUCUUAGCCAAACAUUAGGUGGUGAAACCAAGACUAAUUCCAGGUUUGGAGUAAGGUUUUUUGUAAUUUCAUGGAUAAAAUUGAUUGAAUAUGUUUUUGAAAUAAACUGUAAACUC